Molecule: ribosomal RNA, 473 nt
Filed under: uncultured bacterium
Lineage: Bacteria
Description: partial 16S ribosomal RNA
Rfam family: Bacterial small subunit ribosomal RNA
Source: RNAcentral
GAUGAACGCUCGCGGCAGGCCUAAUACAUGCAAGUCGAACGGGUGGUCGCAAGACCACUAGUGGCGCACGGGUGCGUAACGCGUAACCAACCUGCCCCGAUCUGGGGGAUAGCCCGCCGAAAGGCGGAUUAAUACCGCAUAUACCCGCAGCCUGGCAUCAGGCAACGGGGAAAGAUUUAUUGGAUCGGGAUGGGGUUGCGUGACAUUAGCUAGUUGGCGGGGUAAGGGCCCACCAAGGCGACGAUGUCUAGGGGACCUGAGAGGGUGAUCCCCCACACUGGCACUGAGAUACGGGCCAGACUCCUACGGGAGGCAGCAGUAGGGAAUAUUGGGCAAUGGGCGAGAGCCUGACCCAGCCAUGCCGCGUGCCGGAUGAAGGCCUUCUGGGCUGUAAACGGCUUUUCUCAGGGAAGAAAAAGACCUUGCGAGGUACACUGACGGUACCUGAGGAAUAAGCACCGGCUAACUCCGUG